ACACUUACCUGGCAGGGGCAAUACCAUGGUCAUGAAGGUGGUUUUCCCAGGGUGUUGUUUAUCCACUGCACUCUGGAUGUGCUGACCCUGGCAGUUUCUCCAAAUGUGAGAAACUGGACUGUACAAUUUGUGUUGAUGGAGUACUGCCUGUGUACUCUCCAC
Molecule: small nuclear RNA, 162 nt
Organism: Talpa occidentalis (Iberian mole)
Lineage: Eukaryota; Metazoa; Chordata; Mammalia; Eulipotyphla; Talpidae
Product: U1 spliceosomal RNA
Exons: 1
Source: RefSeq, a predicted model, not a curated record